Non-coding RNA from Cricetulus griseus (Chinese hamster), 4240 nucleotides. The record is from RefSeq and is a predicted model, not a curated record. Lineage: Eukaryota; Metazoa; Chordata; Mammalia; Rodentia; Cricetidae.
AACUCGGGUGGCUAGCGGAAAGCACCCACGUGGCAGUAGGGCUCUGGUGGCUUUUGGCAGAAAGAUUUAUCGUAACAGGAACCAGUAUUUAUUCCUAGUGCAUGAAUGGGCUUUGGGGGCCCACAACCUAUGGAGGGAGACUCUCUCAGCCUAGAUACACGGGGGAGGGCCUAGGUCCUGCCCCAAAUGAUGUGACAGACUUCGAUGAUCCCCCAUGGAAGGCCCUCACCCUCCCUGGGGAGUGGAUUGGGGAUGGGAUGGAGGGUUGGUGGGGGGCAUGGGAGGACAGGAGGAAGAGGGAACUGGGGUUAGUAUGUAAAAUAAGAUUGUUUUUAUUUUAUUUAUAUAUAUUGGUGGAAAUACCGAAGAAGUGGGUUAUAGGCAGGUGGAGUACCCUCAAAUAUAUACCUUGGAUUCUGUCUGAUAGCAUUCUUUGCUCUUUGAGUACUAGAGGAUAGGGGUUUGUUAAGUUGAUAUAUUUCAGGGCUGGGCAUGGUGGUGCACACCUUUAAUCACGGUAUCUAAAAUUCUGAAGCAGACAGAUCUCUCUGAAUUUUAAGCCAGCCUGGUUCACAUAGUGAGCUUCAAGUCAGCCAAGGCAGUCUCAGAAAACAAACAAAUAAACAAAGUUAAUAUAUUUCAAAGGCAUUAAUGAUCUGACACAGAGGUGGGCAAGGGAGGACUAUUGGGCCAGAGAUAGCCCAAAAUAAAUUGUAAAUAGGCUCUGAACCGCAACAUUCAAAAUUCUCCACAGUCACUGAAAUUGACAGUUACAUUACAGGAAUUCUUGUUCAAUUCCCCCCUGUUGACUUAGCAUCACACUUAUGCAGGUGGGCAGGGAAGGGGUAAACACAUAUUACUUAUUAAAUAUUAUAACGUCCCACAUCGCUAGGAAGGAUCUUUCCUAGGACCUGAUGUAGAUGAUUCUGAGUAGUAGGCAAGAUGGCAGUCUUCAGGAGAGAUGGUAACUGGUGAAGACAUCGAGAAGGAACUCCUUGAUCAUAUCAGGACCUGGUUCUGACUUUUAAAAAAUGUGUCCUCUGUAUUUGACACAGCUUUACAUUUGACAUAUAAGGGGAUUAUUAUACUUAAAAUUAAAAUAUUUAAGAACACUGUUUUGCCUAAUGAAAUGAAAGCAACAGAUGAAGGAAAUAGAUAUCCUACCCAGCCGGGGAGAAAAAUCCCUCACCUCGGUCUUAAUAUUCCUUAAUAUUCCUUAAGUAGAUACAUCUCCUAUGAUGUCGACAGUCAUUUGUACCAUAAGGAGCAUUUUAUUUUAUUUUAUUUUUGCAGCACUUGCAAUAGUUCAUUGCCCUUUAAUUCUAGUCUGUCUUCUUGCUGGAUUGAUUCCAUAAUACCCUUAUUAUAAUAUUUUAUCAUCUGUUAUUGAUGUUUUAAUAUAUUGGCACUGUACUAGAUUUAGUUGGGAAAGGCAAAUGGGAAGUCACAUUACAGAAAAAUUAGAUAACAAUAUAGAUUUUUUAAACCUUUAAAAAUUAAGAUUGUCUUUUUCAUGUAACAAAUUAUCAGUAACAGUGAUAAAAACAAGAGGUAAGAGCUGUUGGACAUCAGAAUGUUAUGGUCCUUCCUGGCAUAACCAAGUCCUUCAUUUUAUUAGCAGUUAGAAAUCGAAAUAGGACUGUAGUAUUGUCCUUUUAUUUUUAUUAGCUAAAUCCAAUCAUUAACUAGUCUUUUAUUAAGUCUCAGCUAAUUGUGCUAUAGGACAAUUGUAUAUUAGACAAUGUAGAUUUUAAUUUAAGAAAUAUCAGUACUUAAGGCACAAAACAUCAGGGAUGCUGUUAAUAGACAUUUUGAAGAGUUAACCCCAAAUCUCUGUGUACUUGUAGUAAGAGAAAAUGCAAUUAAAGCUCAAUUGGAAAACCGGAUUUAAAAAAGUCCAAAAUAUAUGGACUAAUGGGAAAUGUAUUUUAAAAAUCAAGACAGUGAGAAUAGUUGACUCUUUUCAAUAUGAAAACUAGAUUUGACAAAGAUGGGAGUUUAGGCUAAACAAUCAUAAUAAAAAUCAUGGUUAAUAAAAUGUGGUUAAUAUUGUCCUUUAUAACUUUAUUAAAACCCAAAUUAGCAUUAUUUUAUCACUUAGAACCAAGCAAAAUAGCAAAUAUCAUAAAUGUCACAAAUAUCAACAUUCAAAUUAUAAAGCAUUUAGGAAACAUGAAAACUGAGAGAAAUGUUUGGGUUCUCAGUUGUUAAUGGUAUUGAAGACCCAGCAUUUCUGAAGGUCACAUGUGUAGGGGAAGCUGUAGCCACACCUACUUAGGGGCUGGCUACAGGUGUGUCUGACCAUGCCUGCAAGGUCGUGGUCAGGGUGACAUAGAGUGAGAGGUGGUCAGGUGGCUGGGCACUUUCGAUUUCAUUUUUUGGCUUGCUAUACAGACUGCUGCCGCGCCAGCUGGCUAGGUCGCUCUGUAAGUAAGGCUUUUCCCUAUUAAAUACCCUUGUAUUUCUACCUGACUUCAUAUUGGUAAUUUCCCACUUUACACAGGAUUGUGUUCUUAGACAAAUUUGGCGUAUGUUUCAUGUGGGGCAGUUUACUACUUGAGUUUGUAGUCUGAGUGGUUCAGAAGAAGGGAGUCUUUGAUAUGAUGUCCUUUUUGUUCUUAAUCGAUACAAUCAUAUGAUUUUUCUUUAUCCGAAAAGGGAAUAAGACAUAGUUUAUUCUAAAGCCAAACAUGAAAGAACAUGACCUAGGAAUACAAAUUUAGGAUACCCUAAAUUCUGGAAUGUGGAAGUAGUUGGGUUUUAUUUUUUCUCUGAUAUUUUAUCUUUCUGUUUUAAAAAUGUAGGUACUUAUAGCUUAUUAAAAUCAUGGGACUGAUUUUAACGUGCCCUAGAGAUUUUGUUUUGUUGUGUUUUAAUUUUUGUUUAAUUCUGGGAUUUUCUUUUUAUUUAUUUCUUGGUCUCUUUCUUGAGUUGUUUAAUCUGCACAAGUUUGUAUAAUUACUGUCCAUGAGUUUGUAUAAUUACUAUAUUGUCAGAUAGGAUAUAUGAAGUCAUUGCAGUUUUUCUGAAUUAACUAAGUUUUUUUUUUUUUUCCAAGUGUGUGGUCUAUUUUAGAGAAACUUCCAUUAGCUGCUGAAGAGUCUACAACGAAAAGAAUGAGAAGGACAAAAGGAAAUUUAGACCAUAUUCACUGAAGUGAAAAAGAGCACCAGGACAUUUAAUGCUGGAGCCAAGGCUUGUGCUAAAGGAGGAUUCUGGCUUUAGAGCAGUGACAGACACACCAGGAGUGAGGUUGUGGAAUCUUCCUCUGUGAUUAAGAAAGAUGCUGAAGCCAGGCAUGAGGCAGUGGGGCUCUUGCAUGGAGUCUCUGAGAGGUCAAUCAGUGAAGCUGUGAAAGUGAAGCCUGGGUCGUCUUGGAGACCUCAAAUGUUGGACAUGCCAGAACCAUGGGAUACCUGCCAAGGAGAGCUGCACACAGGGAGUGGAACCAGCUCAAGGGACAGAAGCAUAUUACAGUCAACAAUGCAGGAGAGGUGGAGUCAUCUAAGCCCCCUGACAUUGGAAAUGGAGUUACAGGUUUUGGAGUUUGCCCUGUGGGGGUUUGGUCUUGCUUUGGUGCAGUAUUUCUUCAUUUUGCCCCCAUUCCUACAUUUUGGAAUGAUCAUGGAAAGUUUUCCAAAAUACUUUAUUUCCUAGAUGUGGUGAUUUGAAUUGGUAUGGCCCCUACAGACUCGUGUGUUUGAAUGUGUGGCCAUAGGAAGCAGCACUAUUAGGAGGUGUGGCCUUGUUAGAAGAAGUGUGUCACUGUGGAGGCGGACUUUGUGGUCUUAAAUAUGCUCAUGCUAUGCCAGUGACACAGUUGCUUCUGCUACUUGGUGUGAGACCCCGGGAAGCUCAGGCCUCCAGAAUCUUUUCCCAGGACUGCAGCCACCCCAAUCAUCACGAGGAGGCGGAAACUUGAUGCAAACAGCAAGAGGCUUUAAUGAAAGAUGCUGGCUAAUUACCACCAGAUGGCUUGGCCUCAGUGGAGAAUGUUUUCUAGUUUGCAUAACAACAGACCUAGGCCCUGGGUGUACCCACACCUAUUCUAAGGACUUGUUUACAUGCCUAGGGGCUGUUUAGGGUUGUCUCUAGGAUUAAAGGAGGCAAUUGAUAUCAGCUUUGUACAUGAGAGUCUUCUGCUGUCACCUCCACUGUUGGAAAGCUAUUUAAGAGGAUGCUUGAAUAAACCAUGGACUCCAGACUCCAGGAUGGACUGAGAACCCUACUGAAAUGACAA